Molecule: ribosomal RNA, 492 nt
Filed under: uncultured bacterium
Lineage: Bacteria
Description: partial 16S ribosomal RNA
Rfam family: Bacterial small subunit ribosomal RNA
Source: RNAcentral
AGUGAACGCUGGCGGUAGGCCCAACACAUGCAAGUCGAACGGCAGCACAGUAAGAGCUUGCUCUUACGGGUGGCGAGUGGCGGACGGGUGAGGAAUACAUCGCAAUCUACUUUUUCGUGGGGGAUAACGUAGGGAAACUUACGCUAAUACCGCAUACGACCUACGGGUGAAAGCAGGGGAUCUUCGGACCUUGCGCGAUUGAAUGAGCCGAUGUCGGAUUAGCUAGUUGGCGGGGUAAAGGCCCACCAAGGCGACGAUCCGUAGCUGGUCUGAGAGGAUGAUCAGCCACACUGGAACUGAGACACGGUCCAGACUCCUACGGGAGGCAGCAGUGGGGAAUAUUGGACAAUGGGCGCAAGCCUGAUCCAGCCAUACCGCGUGGGUGAAGAAGGCCUUCGGGUUGUAAAGCCCUUUUGUUGGGAAAGAAAAGCAGCAGGUUAAUACCCCGCUGUUCUGACGGUACCCAAAGAAUAAGCACCGGCUAACUUCGUG